GAUGAAGAACAUAGCAAAAUGCGAUAAGUAAUGUGAAUUGCAGAAUUCAGUGAAUCAUCGAAUCUUUGAACGCACAUUGCGCCCGCCAGUAUUCUGGCGGGCAUGCCUGUUCGAGCGUCAUUUCAACCCUCAAGCACAGCUUGGUGUUGGGACUCGCGUUAAUUCGCGUUCCUCAAAUUGAUUGGCGGUCACGUCGAGCUUCCAUAGCGUAGUAGUAAAACCCUCGUUACUGGUAAUCGUCGCGGCCACGCCGUUAAACCCCAACUUCUGAAUGUUGACCUCGGAUCAGGUAGGAAUACCCGCUGAACUUAAGCAUAUCAAUAAGCGGAGGA
Molecule: unclassified non-coding RNA, 332 nt
Filed under: soil metagenome
Description: partial contains 5.8S ribosomal RNA, internal transcribed spacer 2, and large subunit ribosomal RNA
Rfam family: 5.8S ribosomal RNA (bases 1-120)
Source: RNAcentral